UUACUAGAGUAGCACUCGCAUAUCAAUAAGCGGAGGAAAAGAAACUAACAAGGAUUCCCCUAGUAACGGCGAGUGAAGCGGGAAGAGCUCAAAUUUGAAAUCUUAAAGGGUUUCCCUUUACGAAUUGUAGUUUAAAGAAGUGUUUUCUGUUGAGGUUUUGGUAAAAGUUCUUUGGAAUAGGACAUCAUAGAGGGUGAGAAUCCCGUAUUUGACCUUUACUUUCAACUUUGUGAUACACUUUCAAAGAGUCGGAUUGUUUGGGAAUGCAGUCCAAAAUGGGUGGUAAAUUUCAUCUAAAGCUAAAUAUUGGCGAGAGACCGAUAGCGAACAAGUACCGUGAGGGAAAGAUGAAAAGAACUUUGAAAAGAGAGUUAAACAGUACGUGAAAUUGUCAAAAGGGAAGCGUUUGACACCAGUGUUGUUUUUCUGAAAAUCAAUUAAAGAACUGUUUAUGCUAAGUUGUUUAGACUUUAUCAGCUAACUGUUUAGUUUUGAGCUUUUCUUUAAUGCACUUUUCAGUUAACAAGUCAACAUCAAUUUCUUUUGCUGUAAAAAAGCUUGAGGAAGGUGGCUUGAGAUUCGUCUUAAGUGUUUAUAGCCUCUUGCCUAUGCAGUCGGAGAGAUUGAGGUCUGCAGCGUAGAUCCUUCGGGGCUAAAUGCAUUUGUGCUAAGUUAUAACAUUUUAUAGACAACUUGUUGACUAUGAUUUGUCUUGUAGCUUACUCGCUUAUGUUAUUUUACCUACGCUUAGGAUGUUGAGUCAUCACACAUCUCU
RNAcentral lists this ribosomal RNA (775 nucleotides) under uncultured Neocallimastigales. RNAcentral's name for it is "partial large subunit ribosomal RNA". It matches the Rfam family "Eukaryotic large subunit ribosomal RNA", at positions 1 to 614 of the family's 3401-position model. Lineage: Eukaryota; Fungi; Neocallimastigomycota; Neocallimastigomycetes; Neocallimastigales. The record is from RNAcentral.